This 90-nucleotide transfer RNA is filed under the name Megalops atlanticus (tarpon). It matches the Rfam family "tRNA". Rfam says of the family: Transfer RNA (tRNA) molecules are approximately 80 nucleotides in length. Their secondary structure includes four short double-helical elements and three loops (D, anti-codon, and T loops). The record is from Rfam by way of RNAcentral. Lineage: Eukaryota; Metazoa; Chordata; Actinopteri; Elopiformes; Megalopidae.
CCUUCGAUAGCUCAGUUGGUAGAGCGGAGGACUGUAGUGGGUGAUAGUGCUGUCAUCCUUAGGUCGCUGGUUCGACUCCGGCUCGAAGGA